This 463-nucleotide ribosomal RNA is filed under the name uncultured bacterium. RNAcentral describes it as "partial 16S ribosomal RNA". It matches the Rfam family "Bacterial small subunit ribosomal RNA", at positions 29 to 507 of the family's 1533-position model. The record is from RNAcentral.
AGUGAACGCUGGCGGCGUGCUUAAUACGUGCAAGUCGAACGAUGAAGUCCUAGCUUGCUAGGAUGGAUUAGUGGCGCACGGGUGAGUAAUAUAUAGUUAAUCUGCCUUGCACUGAGGAACAACAGUUGGAAACGAUUGCUAAUACCUCAUACUCCAACUUUACAUAAGUUAAGUUGGGAAAGUCUUUUCGGUGCAAGAUGAGACUAUAUCGUAUCAGCUAGUUGGUAAGGUAAUGGCUUACCAAGGCUAUGACGCGUAACUGGUCUGAGAGGAUGAUCAGUCACAUUGGAACUGAGACACGGUCCAAACUCCUACGGGAGGCAGCAGUAAGGAAUAUUGUGCAAUGGGGGAAACCCUGACGCAGCAACGCCGCGUGGAGGAUGACACUUUUCGGAGCGUAAACUCCUUUUGUUAGGGAAGAAUAAUGACGGUACCUAACGAAUAAGCACCGGCUAACUCCGUG